This 505-nucleotide ribosomal RNA is filed under the name uncultured bacterium. RNAcentral describes it as "partial 16S ribosomal RNA". It matches the Rfam family "Bacterial small subunit ribosomal RNA", at positions 28 to 507 of the family's 1533-position model. The record is from RNAcentral.
GACGAACGCUGGCGGCGUGCCUAAUACAUGCAAGUAGAACGCACAGUUUAUACCGUAGCUUGCUACACCAUAAACUGUGAGUUGCGAACGGGUGAGUAACGCGUAGGUAACCUGCCUGGUAGCGGGGGAUAACUAUUGGAAACGAUAGCUAAUACCGCAUAAUAUUAAUUAUUGCAUGAUAAUUGAUUGAAAGAUGCAAUUGCAUCACUACCAGAUGGACCUGCGUUGUAUUAGCUAGUAGGUGAGGUAACGGCUCACCUAGGCGACGAUACAUAGCCGACCUGAGAGGGUGAUCGGCCACACUGGGACUGAGACACGGCCCAGACUCCUACGAGAGGCAGCAGUAGGGAAUCUUCGGCAAUGGACGAAAGUCUGACCGAGCAACGCCGCGUGAGUGAAGAAGGUUUUCGGAUCGUAAAGCUCUGUUGUAAGAGACGAACGGGUGUGAGAGUGGAAAGUUCACACUGUGACGGUAUCUUACCAGAAAGGGACGGCUAACUACGUG